Heterocephalus glaber (naked mole-rat) is the source of this 453-nucleotide long non-coding RNA. RefSeq lists it as uncharacterized. The record is from RefSeq and is a predicted model, not a curated record. NCBI's taxonomy places the organism in Eukaryota, Metazoa, Chordata, Mammalia, Rodentia, Bathyergidae.
UUCCUCUCUCCCUUCUUUCUCUCCGAACUUCCUUUCUUUUUUCUUAGCGCUGAAGAUUGAAGCCAGGGCCUUUGCGUUGAGCAAUAUUCUCCAAAAUGACUACAGUUAACAGAGGCAAUGUGGCAGAAGAAUCCUCAGACAUUGUAACAAAGUAAUUUCCAGAGCGUUACACAAAUAUCAGGCUGGUACAAAGCGCAAGAAGACAACAGAUAACAGGUUCGAACUCAGGUCCUUGCACUUGCGAGACAGGCAGCAGAAUGACUGAGCAUUUGUCCCCAAACUGGAAACACCACCAGUGUCGCCAGGACACAAGUGAAAAAGUUGACGAAGGCCACCAGCACAGCAUCAAAGAGGCCGUUGUCUCUCACCGUAGCUUGAAAAGGCGAUGACACUACCAAGUCCCAGAUCUACGUAGGCAAAGACCCUGAACAGCAGCUUCUCUCCAGACCUUGG